AUGAACGGGGACUAAUUGGCAUUUAUCAUGACUGGUACGUACAACUAUUGAAACAACCCUAUCUUUUGAAUAGUAUUGUCAUCUGAAAGGAAGCACUUGAUAUAUAACCUGAUAUUAAUAACUAUUGAAACAACCCUAUCUUUUGAAAAGAAUUGUCUUACGAAAGGACGCGCUUGAUAUAUAACCUGAUAUUAAUAUUCCUUUGUGCUUUCAUUAUUUGCUUUACUACUUCUAGCUUAGGUAGAGAAAAUGUUAAGGUCUAGAGCUUAAGAGGAUAAUAAAAUCAGAUUCUACCGGGUUAAAUAUGUAACAGAAAGAGAUGCCUUAAACUUCAAAUCACAUUUCAUGUUUGAUGUAAUCAUCUCUUAAGAUUCUGUGAAAAUAUAUCACAAAUGCACCUAAGGCAAAGAGUUGUUUUAUUUGUUUCUAUCAGA
Molecule: long non-coding RNA, 434 nt
Filed under: Nicotiana benthamiana
Lineage: Eukaryota; Viridiplantae; Streptophyta; Magnoliopsida; Solanales; Solanaceae
Description: long non-coding RNA (NBEN_LNC010267)
Source: RNAcentral